AUUAAUGCACAACAUUUAUAUUCGAAUCAGGUCAGAGUUGGAAGACAGCAGCCUUAAGAAUCCCUAAAUGUGUGUGCUUUUUUUUG
This 86-nucleotide signal recognition particle RNA is filed under the name Bacillota bacterium. RNAcentral's name for it is "signal recognition particle sRNA small type". It matches the Rfam family "Bacterial small signal recognition particle RNA". From Rfam's summary of the family: The signal recognition particle (SRP) is a universally conserved ribonucleoprotein involved in the co-translational targeting of proteins to membranes. Archaeal SRP consists of a 7S RNA and homologues of the eukaryotic SRP19 and SRP54 proteins. The record is from RNAcentral. Lineage: Bacteria; Bacillati; Bacillota.